AGAAGAAAAAGCACUGUUAAAACCAGAGUAUCUCUCCAAAGUGAUUCAGGCCUUUUCCAGCACACGCGUGCGCGCGCACACGCACACACGCACACACGCACACACACAGUGACAGGUAACCUAUGCACAGCCACAAAGAUGAAGUGCACUGGCAAAAUGCAGGUUGUCUAAGAACACUUUCCAAUAAUGCUUGAUUUGAAAAUUAUCCAUGGAAAGAAGAGAGUCCAAACCCGACACCUAGAAGUGUUUUGCGAAGAACUAAAUACAGCAGAAAAUUGGCAGAAGACUAAUGGAUGAGUGAAGUCUUGAUUCCUAGAUGAGAGCAGAAUGCAAAGGCCUCUCUGUCUCAACUUUUCCAACUUCAGAAAGCACAUGUAUUUUACAUGUUCUAAGAAACUCUCAAAAAAGAACAAGUAAUUUCAAGAAAUGCCUGGAAUUACCAUUUCAUGGGUUAUGGUAACCCAGUGGGACUUGGAUAGUUCUUGUAACCAGUUCUUGUAGCCAAAGUACCCUCCGCUGAGAGUAACUCAAUGAUGUAGGACUUUCUGUUCAGAGGAAAAACUAUGUUGUGGUCACAGAGUUGUUACAACCUCCACUCAUGAGUUAAAAAAAGAAUCAUUCACAAGCAUUGUAAACUCAGAUUUUAAAAAAUACGAGGGAAAUAAGAUCCUUAAUGUUUUCUAAAAUUGCUUGUUUUUCCUCUUUUAGUCUUAUUUUUAUACUCUCUCUUAAUCUAAUCUUACUUCUGAUGUAAUACUGUCUUAUCUCUCUUUCCUCCUGCCAGAUUGGAUGAACUGUUUCAUAGUGGUUAAGGUGGGAGGAUACAGACUGCUUUGUUUUUGUUUUGUUUCUUAAUUUCUUGUCUAUGCUAGUCCAUGUUAGAUGAUAUUAGACAAGACAUUUAAUUUUCCUAAGCUCAGCUUCCUUAUCUGUAAAAUGAAGACAGUAAUAACAGUACCAAUUUUAUAAGAACGUUGUGAAGAUUAAAUAAGAUAGUGGAUAUAAAGUACUGAGCACAGUGUCCAGACCAUAUCCAAGUGCUCUCAAUGUUAGUUCUUCUUUCUAAAUGUGAGUUCUUUUUUCUGUGCUCAGAAAUUGUGCUACUUUUUGCCUUGUUUAGUUGAAUUUUAUAAGUACAUUUACCUAAUUUCAUUCCCUAUCAUUUUGCCCUCCUAAAUGUUUAAAAUUAUUUCUGAACAUCUUAAAAAAUCACAAAUUUAAGAAGCACAUUUUAAAAUGAGAGGAUGCUCAUGUUCACAAUGAUACACAUGUAAAUAGCUCUGGUUUCUUGAGGGCAAUGUUGUUCCUUACUGCUGCAUCCCCCUAGCACCUGAAACAGUGAAUGCCUGUCACAUAAUCGGUGCUGGAUAGGUAUUUGUUGAAUGAAUGAAAUGAGUUGGGGACAAUUUAGUAACAAUGUAAUACUCUGGCUACUGAAACCAGAGAAACAUCAAGUAGGGCAAACAGACAUGUAAACCAAUCACAUUUGAUAGUGAAAAUUUUAUGCCCUGGGAGCUAUGGGGGCAAUGUGGAUACCAUUUAUGGCUUCAUCACCAUGCCUUGUUAUCCAACUCAUUUCUGGCCAAUUCAACUGGAUGACCUUAUUUUCAAGAACUUCUUUUAUGACUAGACUUGUGGCAUAUAUCAUUCCAUUCUGUUUCCUCAGAGAUAAUGUGUUUGCCUCUGAUACACUGAAAAUGAACUGGAACACUCUAUUAUUAAUCUUACAUGAAAUAUGCAGUUUGGUGUGAACUGUGCAUAAGGAAAAGAUCUUAUUUUAUCUAUAUAUUUUUUCCAAACAAAAUUUCACUCCCCUUCAGGCUAUAAUUCAGAUUAGAAAUUUGGCAAUUAAAUUAGAAAAUAAAUUCUGGUGGUACAUAAAACACUUAAAAAAUAUGAUUGCUUAAACCAGGUUCUUAGUUCAUAAACUGACCCAUAAAGACUAGUCCUUUAAUGAUAACCAUAAACAAAGAACCUAUUUGGUCUCUGAAAAGUUUAUACUUUCUUUUCCAUUGAUUACUCGUCUUUGUUCUUUCCUCUUGAUCUUUCUCUUCUAAAUAGCACAAAUCUUUAAAGGGAGGAUUGUGGCAAUUAAAGAAAGGCUAGAAUAGAAGAAUAGAAGACAACCAUGACUCAAACACGGGAAAGGAUUGUCAUAGCCACGUUGUUACUCAUAGUUAAAUAUUCCUUCCACUUGUGAUAUGUAUAAAUGGAUCACUUUUAGCUCCAGAAACACUGAACAGGCUGAAUAUUUUGCAAAAUGUUUCCCAAAUUUCUGUUACGUUUAUACCACCUUCAUGGUAUUUGCCAUGCCCUGUGUACUACUAUGUACCUAGAUAGUUUCCUUAACUCAAUUUUAAACUGUCUACAUAUCUUAGGUUUAACCUAAACAAUAGUAUUGGGAAGAACAAGCACUUGUUUUUAUAUAUUAUAUUAUAUGUUAUAAUUUAUAUUAAAAUAAGUACACAAUAUGAAAAUGAGUAUCUGUCCAUGUGCUACCACCCAAAUAUUUCACUUCCCAGGGGAACAUGUACCAUACUUUAGGAAAUAUUACUUAGUGC
Molecule: long non-coding RNA, 2561 nt
Organism: Homo sapiens (human)
Lineage: Eukaryota; Metazoa; Chordata; Mammalia; Primates; Hominidae
Source: Ensembl